This 269-nucleotide ribosomal RNA is filed under the name uncultured prokaryote. RNAcentral's name for it is "partial 16S ribosomal RNA". It matches the Rfam family "Bacterial small subunit ribosomal RNA", at positions 524 to 792 of the family's 1533-position model. The record is from RNAcentral.
CACGUAGGGGGCGAGCGUUGUCCGGAAUUACUGGGCUUAAAGGGUGCGUAGGCGGCCCAGCAAGUCAGGUGUGAAAUCCCACGGCUCAACCGUGGAACUGCGCUUGAAACUGCUGGGCUUGAGGGAGAUAGAGGUAAGCGGAACUGAUGGUGGAGCGGUGAAAUGCAUUGAUAUCAUCAGGAACACCGGUGGCGAAGGCGGCUUACUGGGUCUCUUCUGACGCUGAGGCACGAAAGCUAGGGGAGCGAACGGGAUUAGAUACCCCCGUA